UCUGGCCUACGGGAGGCAGCAGUGGGGGAUAUUGCACAAUGGGGGGAACCCUGAUGCAGCGACGCCGCGUGGUGAAGAAGCGCCUCGGCGCGUAAAGCCCUGUCAGCAGGGAAGAAAAUGACGGUACCCGAAGAAGAAGCCCCGGCUAACUACGUGCCAGCAGCCGCGGUAAUACGUAGGGGGCAAGCGUUAUCCGGAUUUACUGGGUGUAAAGGGAGCGCAGGCGGCCUGGCAAGCCUGAUGUGAAAUACCGGGGCCCAACCCCGGGGCUGCAUUGGGAACUGCCAGGCUGGAGUGCCGGAGAG
This 305-nucleotide ribosomal RNA is filed under the name uncultured bacterium. Its description in RNAcentral is "bacterial SSU rRNA". It matches the Rfam family "Bacterial small subunit ribosomal RNA", at positions 335 to 656 of the family's 1533-position model. The record is from RNAcentral.